Molecule: ribosomal RNA, 465 nt
Filed under: uncultured bacterium
Lineage: Bacteria
Description: partial 16S ribosomal RNA
Rfam family: Bacterial small subunit ribosomal RNA
Source: RNAcentral
GACGAACGCUGGCGGCGUGCUUAACACAUGCAAGUCGAACGGAAAGGCCCCUUUGGGGGUACUCGAGUGGCGAACGGGGGAGUAACACGUGAGUAACCUGCCCUUGACUUCGGGAUAACUUCAGGAAACUGGGGCUAAUACCGGAUAGGAAUCCUUGCUGCAUGGUGGGGGUUGGAAAGCUUCGGCGGUUUUUGAUGGACUCGCGGCUUAUCAGCUUGUUGGUGGGGUAGUGGCUUACCAAGGCUUUGACGGGUAGCCGGACUGAGAGGGCGACCGGCCACAUUGGGACUGAGAUACGGCCCAGACUCCUACGGGAGGCAGCAGUGGGGAAUAUUGAACGAUGGGCGGAAGCCUGAUGCAGCAACGCCGCGUGCGGGAUGACGGCCUUAGGGUUGUAAAACGAUUUCAGCAGGGGCGAAGCUUGUGGUGACGGUACCUGCAGAAGAAGCACCGGCUAACUACGUG